UACGGGGGGAGCAAGCGUUGUUCGGAUUUACUGGGCGUAAAGGGCGCGUAGGCGGCCAGCACAAGUCAGUUGUGAAAUCUCCGAGCUUAACUCGGAAAGGUCAACUGAUACUGUGCGGCUAGAGUGCGGAAGGGGCAACUGGAAUUCUUGGUGUAGCGGUGAAAUGCGUAGAUAUCAAGAGGAACACCUGCGGCGAAGGCGGGUUGCUGGGCCGACACUGACGCUGAUGCGCGAAAGCUAGGGGAGCGAAUGGG
Molecule: ribosomal RNA, 254 nt
Filed under: uncultured bacterium
Lineage: Bacteria
Description: partial 16S ribosomal RNA
Rfam family: Bacterial small subunit ribosomal RNA
Source: RNAcentral